Long non-coding RNA from Syngnathus typhle (broad-nosed pipefish), 505 nucleotides. RefSeq lists it as uncharacterized. The transcript is spliced from 2 exons. Lineage: Eukaryota; Metazoa; Chordata; Actinopteri; Syngnathiformes; Syngnathidae. The record is from RefSeq and is a predicted model, not a curated record.
AUAUUAUCAUGCGUUCUCUAAUCAAUGCUUUACCCCAAUAGAACUGCAAGAGAUGCUUGCUGUUUGGCCUUGCUGUUUUUAUGAGUCAUUUAUGAGUUUAUGGCUUUCCUUUUAUCUAGGCUCUUUACUUUUAGUGACAGGGAUCUUUUGAUCCCUGUCAGCCAUAUAUAAAGUCUAGCAAAGGUCUAGUUGUAUUGUUCCACAGGAAAGCAGCAAUUAAAGUUAUCUGAUCUCACCCACGGCCAACAACUGGAGAAGAACAGAUGGACAAACCCUGCGCGGGUCACGGGCCGACGAUGAAGUGCUAAUUCACACCACACUACAUUCCUUAGCUAAUCAGCGUUGCUACAGACACAAUCUCCCCUCCCUUUAGUGUAGCAACGCCUCUGUAACCAGGGCAACCAAAACAUUAAAUAGAGGAGCACGUGGAGGGAGAACUCAGAAUUGAUGGAGAUUGUAACCGAGUUUCCUCUCUCUAUCGUUCUCCUCGCGAGAAAAGACUUAA